RNAcentral lists this long non-coding RNA (239 nucleotides) under Gallus gallus (chicken). The record is from RNAcentral. Lineage: Eukaryota; Metazoa; Chordata; Aves; Galliformes; Phasianidae.
GACAAAGGAAAAGUGGGGGUGAACCUUGCACCGAAAAGCGUGUGAUUAUUUCAUUUUCAUUGGUCAUAGACUUCCACUUUCGAUAUUCUUCUUCCACAUUCUUCUUCAGGUUAAAACGGCUUUCCUGAGGUACGUUAUUCUGUUUAAAGAAUACCUGUAACGGAGCUGGAAAACAGCUUAGUGUAUGGGAUGCCCAGUUAUGUGGAGUAAAACUCAUGAUAGUCUGCAAUAUAUCCUUG